UACGAAGGGGGCUAGCGUUGCUCGGAAUCACUGGGCGUAAAGCGCACGUAGGCGGAUUGCUAAGUCAGGGGUGAAAUCCUGGAGCUCAACUCCAGAACUGCCUUUGAUACUGGCGACCUUGAGUCCGGGAGAGGUGAGUGGAACUGCGAGUGUAGAGGUGAAAUUCGUAGAUAUCAGGAGGAACACCAGUGGCGAAGGCGGCUUUCUGGACGGUAACUGACGCUGAGACGCGAAAGCGUGGGGAGCAAACAGG
Molecule: ribosomal RNA, 253 nt
Filed under: uncultured bacterium
Lineage: Bacteria
Description: partial 16S ribosomal RNA
Rfam family: Bacterial small subunit ribosomal RNA
Source: RNAcentral